GAGUUGGGUGAGAAAGAAUCCUAAAGAUGGUCCAAUGGGCAUGGUGUGAAGCCUCUCUCUUUGUGUCAGUCUGCUAAAUCUCCUGAUGUCCUCUAGGGUGAGAUUCAGGUCCUGCUGAACAACUUGUAAUAGGAGAUGAAGUACAUGCAGGGGCAGCUCAAUACCAGGAUAUCAUCCCUGAGCAGAGGGUGGGCAUCCCCACAACCCUCCCAACAGUCAGCGUCUCUGCGACCAAUGGAAUGCUGCUACACCAUCUCCAAUCCCCCCCAUGGUGGGACCAACGUGGAAUGGUGGAGUGAAUACCACAUGUGGAGAUUUCUACUGCAAGAGAAAGGAUAUUGUCACAGAUAUCCGGAGUAGAUGUGGUGGAUCGUUCCAUAAUGACCAUCACCGAGGCCAACCCUCAGAGCCAGACUGGCAGCCGGCCGGGGGCUGAGCCUGAGACCCCUGCUGUAGCGCUUCAGAACAGUGGAGGAUGGCUCAGCUGGAUCUUCAGGAGAGGAAAGGAGAUUCAUCUAUCUGAUGAGAAAGACAACUCUAACAAACCUGUACUGCCUCCUCCCCCGAUGGGAAUGUAUCUGGGGAACUCUGGUCUUCCCAAAGGGGUGAAUCCUUACUCAGGAAAGCAGGUGAAUAUGGUUCAAAUAUGCAUUCAAAUACUGUAUGAAUAUGAAUUCAAAUACUGUGCCAGCCAAUCAUCGCUUUAUCUGGUGAUCUCCUGCCUGCUAACAUCUUUCCUCUAGUCUAACAGCAGGUCUAUGGGAAAAAUAUAGAAGAAAAAGAAACGCACACCUAUUAAGGCGAGGUGCUGGAUAGCGGAGUAGAAAACUUGAAAAUAAGGGAGAGCCGCACACCCUAGGAGCUCAGAUGCAAAAAAAUGUAUAUCCAACGUUUCGACAGCCAAGCUGUCUUCAUCAGGGUAUCAUCACAAACACUGCGAGAUGACUCGUUUAUAUAGUGUCAGAAGACACACAGGUGUCUGUAAUCAUGGCCAAGUGUGGCCUAAUAUCAUUUGUUAACUCUGAAAUAUAAAAAUGGCAUACAAAAGAACAAAUGGAUAGCAUACGAUCAUAGAUACAUUUUAGACUACACAAGCUUACAAACAAUUACAAUGGCAAAGUCACAAAAAUCACAAGAAUGGCUUCAAAUCAAAGUCUACUUUGAGCCCGAAGGGAGCAAGGGUCUUUAAAUUAAAGAUCCAGACGGCCUCUCGUUUUAACAAUAAAUUAUCAAGGUCACCCCCUCUCCUAGGGAGGGUGACAUGCUCGAUGCCAAUAUAACGCAGAGACGAAAUCGAGUGGUUUGCUUCCAUAAAGUGGGCCGCAACUGGGUAAGUCAAGUUUUUGCACCUAAUGGUGCUACGGUGCACUGAGAUACGUACUUUUAAUUCACGCUUUGUUUUACCCACAUCAUUUUUACCACAAGGACAAGUUAUAAGAGAAAUAACUGCCUUAGUGGAGCAAGCGAUAACACCUUUGAUUGGGAUCUGUUUCCCUGUUUGUGGGUGUUUGAAGGAUUUACAUUUAUAAGUGCCAUUGCAUUGAGCACAGCCAUUACACUUGUAAUUUCCAUCCAGUAGGGGCGCAAAUAGACGUUGUUCAGGAAUAUUUUGGGGUGGUAAAUCAGAGUGUACCAAUUGGUCUCUGAGAUUUCUGCCCCGCGAGAAUACGACCAAGGGAAGGUCCGAAAACACAUUACUGAGACUAUCAUCGUAUUUUAGAAUGUGCCAAUGUUUGAGAACGAUUCCCUUAAUUUGUUCAGAGCACUUUGAAUAGCGGGUAGUUAGAACGCAAGAAUGCGUCUUUUUGCGAGACUGACCUUGAAAAAGGUCAUGUUUUGUUUUGAAUUUUCUCAAUGGCAGUAUUAAUCUGAUCAUUUUUGUACCCCCUCUCCUUGAACUUUCUGUGCGUCUCAGCCAUAUUUCUGUCAAAAUCUGAUUGUUUUUUUACAAAUUCUUUUGAUUCGACUGAAUUGGCUGUAGGGCAAACUAUUUUUCAAGGGAAGUGGGUGACAACUAUCAGCCCUCAACAAACUGUUACGAUCAGUAGGUUUCCUGUAAAGAUCAGUGUAUAGAACAUUAUUUUCACACAAGAUCAGAAGAUCAAGAAAACUGAUUUGACGUGUAUCAGAUUGCAUAGUAAAUCUCAAAUGUUCAGAACAGGAGUUAAGAAAAGCAUGGAAUGCCUGGAGCUGUUCUGCAUCACCCCUCCAUAGAACAAAAAUAUCAUCAAUAUACCGUUUCCAAAUAAUGAUGUUAGGCAAGAAAACAUUUUUGAGAGGGUUGAAAAUGGACUGUUUCUCCAUGUAACCCACAAACAAAUUAGCAUAGUUAUGAGCCAUGAGGGAUCCCAUAGCAGUACCCUUCGUCUGAAUAAAGAAAUCAUUUAGAAACAUGAAAUAGUUAUGUGUGAGUACUCUUUCAGCCAAUGUUAUAAUGCAGGCACUGGAAGGUAGUUCAUUAGGGUCAC
This 2468-nucleotide long non-coding RNA is filed under the name Salmo trutta (river trout). Its description in RNAcentral is "lncRNA (ENSSTUG00000044400.1)". Lineage: Eukaryota; Metazoa; Chordata; Actinopteri; Salmoniformes; Salmonidae. The record is from RNAcentral.